AUUAGCCUGCAUGGGGAAAUUCUGUAUUCUCGUCCUGCUUGGACGUUUUAAGCUAAACCCUUGUCUGGCGUGUGAGGGGAAAUCUGCCUGUGCCACUAGCUUGGUGCUUCCUGUUUGCUUCAGUUUAUCGGCACUUUAAAAUGUUAGAUGUUAGUCGCUUGAGGUAUGGAAGAGUACACCACACUACUAUGUGUUAAUUGUGUUAAGGGAAAAAAAUGUACAAAUAUGGGCAGCAAGGUGUCACCCAAGUAACCGAAGGACGAAAGAAGAAGCACCGUGAAACUGACUCUUUUAUUAUUUUUACGUUUUGCAACUUAAAACGUCUUGUGAUUCUAAUAAUUUGAGGGUAUACGUGUGUAUUUUCUGAGCUUCAUCUUAUUGGGAAAUGAGCUUGAAUAAGGGAAUUUUGACUAACAUUUUUGUGAUGCACCUUCUAAUGGACAGAGACACAGCACUAAAGGGAGUCUCUGCUGAUUGCUUCAUCAUUCCUUGUUUCUAAUACAUUUGGUGGCCCGGAAGGCAAUUAUUGUCAUUAUUUUUUUCGUUGUUAUUUUGGACAUUGUUCAUGUUUUGUAUCAUGUGCGAGACACUUUUAUUAAGUAUUUUGAUGAUGACCAACCUGAUUGCAGAAUACUAAUAUUAAGCAGGUAUUUUAAAUUUGUUUUUAUAUCUGAAAAGUUGGGCCAAGAUUGGUCUUCAGUCCAUUUCAAAAUAGUAACUUUCUGUUUUGUUUUAGUCAUUCCAGUAUUUAAUUCCUUUGUUAUGGAGCCUAUCUUGGUUCAGAAUGUAUCUUUCUACAUGAGCAAACUAUAAUGGGACACUAUUAUAAAGACAAUAAUCCAAUGAGUUACGUGAUUGUUGGUCAAAUAAAUGAAUUAAUGGAAUCAUGUAGGACAUUUCUGACAAACCAUGAGAUCAAAGUGUGCAAACAAUAACUUGGUUGUUUUUGAACAACUCAUUGUACAAAGCUAUGCAUGUUUUUGUUUUUGUUUAGUUUUUUAAAGAGGACACUAGCUAAAUCUCUGUUUAUUGCCACCGUUUUGGGUGGGGUGGAUGUGUACAUGUUUGUUUGUGUGCA
Molecule: long non-coding RNA, 1078 nt
Organism: Etheostoma cragini (Arkansas darter)
Lineage: Eukaryota; Metazoa; Chordata; Actinopteri; Perciformes; Percidae
Exons: 3
Source: RefSeq, a predicted model, not a curated record